RNAcentral lists this ribosomal RNA (497 nucleotides) under uncultured bacterium. RNAcentral's name for it is "partial 16S ribosomal RNA". It matches the Rfam family "Bacterial small subunit ribosomal RNA", at positions 28 to 507 of the family's 1533-position model. The record is from RNAcentral.
GAUGAACGCUGGCGGCGUGCCUAAUACAUGCAAGUCGAGCGAACGGACGAGAAGCUUGCUUCUCUGAUGUUAGCGGCGGACGGGUGAGUAACACGUGGAUAACCUACCUAUAAGACUGGGAUAACUUCGGGAAACCGGAGCUAAUACCGGAUAAUAUUUUGAACCGCAUGGUUCAAAAGUGAAAGACGGUCUUGCUGUCACUUAUAGAUGGAUCCGCGCUGCAUUAGCUAGUUGGUAAGGUAACGGCUUACCAAGGCAACGAUGCAUAGCCGACCUGAGAGGGUGAUCGGCCACACUGGAACUGAGACACGGUCCAGACUCCUACGGGAGGCAGCAGUAGGGAAUCUUCCGCAAUGGGCGAAAGCCUGACGGAGCAACGCCGCGCGAGUGAUGAAGGUCUUCGGAUCGUAAAACUCUGUUAUUAAGGAAGAACAUAUGUGUAAGUAACUGUGCACAUCUUGACGGUACCUAAUCAGAAAGCCACGGCUAACUACGUG